AGAGUCAUCCUCCCUCUCCUCAUCAGAAGAUCUAUGUACAAUUUUUAAGUCCUCAUGGUAGAGGAUCCUCCAAAAAGUUAUCUAAUGAGAUAUUCUCCCUUUGUAGAUAGCUCUGCAACAUCAAAAUUUUUAAGAGGAUGCAUAAAGGAAAAAUCACCACCAUUAGGAGGGGUCUGAAUGUCCUAGACUCAAAGAUGUUAUUAUCAUUAGGUCCUUAAAGACCCUUAUUCUUCCAAC
This 237-nucleotide long non-coding RNA is filed under the name Elaeis guineensis (African oil palm). RNAcentral's name for it is "long non-coding RNA (EGUI_LNC063851)". The record is from RNAcentral. Lineage: Eukaryota; Viridiplantae; Streptophyta; Magnoliopsida; Arecales; Arecaceae.